This 496-nucleotide ribosomal RNA is filed under the name uncultured bacterium. RNAcentral describes it as "partial 16S ribosomal RNA". It matches the Rfam family "Bacterial small subunit ribosomal RNA", at positions 28 to 506 of the family's 1533-position model. The record is from RNAcentral.
GAUGAACGCUGGCGGCGUGCCUAAUACAUGCAAGUCGAGCGAACAGACGAGGAGCUUGCUCCUCUGACGUUAGCGGCGGACGGGUGAGUAACACGUGGAUAACCUACCUAUAAGACUGGGAUAACUUCGGGAAACCGGAGCUAAUACCGGAUAAUAUAUUGAACCGCAUGGUUCAAUAGUGAAAGACGGUUUUGCUGUCACUUAUAGAUGGAUCCGCGCCGCAUUAGCUAGUUGGUAAGGUAACGGCUUACCAAGGCAACGAUGCGUAGCCGACCUGAGAGGGGGAGCGGCCACACUGGAAAUGAGACACGGUCCAGACCCCUACGGGAGGCAGGAGGAGGGAAUCUUCCGAAAUGGGCGAAAGCCUGACGGAGCCACGCCGCGGGAGUGAGGAAGGUCUGCGGGUCGUAAAACCUUUUUAUUAGGGAAGAAAAAAUGUGUAAGUAACCAUGCAGGUUUGGACGGUACCAAACCAGAAAGCCACGGCAAACUACGG